GCUUCGCCCAGUGCCAAGCUCGGUUAGCACUUCCUGUGAGUCAGCCGAGAGGGGUCCAGACAGAAGGACCACCCCUUCUCUUUCCACCAAAUCCUCAGCCCAGGAUGCCGCUCUGGUGCCACCUGAGACUCCGGGGGACCGAACCUGAUGUUCUGGUCUGUGUGGGGCGAGGAGUGGCGCACUGGGGUUAGAAAGCAUCAGCCUCAAGCAGAAACCUGGGAACUGCGAUUCUUCCCACCCUAAAGCCCUCCCAGUGGAGGAGGUCCCCUGCAAAGAGCGACACCCCCUUCUCAACCUCCACCUCAGGGAGGAGUCCCGCCCCGGGAAGGAAUGUCAGGUGCAGAGAGGCAUACUUCGUGGGUGACUUCAACUUCGUUACAGGGUGACUUCAACUUCCUUACCAAGUUAAACGAACUAAGGCCGCCUCCUGAGUUAAUUGACUUCUCUCAUUAGAACGAUGUAAUUAAAAAAAAAUCUACACACAUAACAAAAGAAACAGCUCAGACUGAAUUAAUGUAGGUAAAGAGGUAUGAAAAUGACAAUCCUGAGGGCAGUUGCAAAGAUAAAAAAUAUUUUGCUAUCGUU
Leptonychotes weddellii (Weddell seal) is the source of this 585-nucleotide long non-coding RNA. RefSeq lists it as uncharacterized. The record is from RefSeq and is a predicted model, not a curated record. NCBI's taxonomy places the organism in Eukaryota, Metazoa, Chordata, Mammalia, Carnivora, Phocidae.